GGCAGCAGCUAAGAAUAUUCCGCAAUGGACGAAAGUCUGACGGAGCGACGCCGCGUGGAUGAUGAAGGCCGGAAGGUUGUAAAGUCCUUUUAUGACUGAGGAAUAAGUGAAGUGAGAGAAACGCUUCAUGGUGACUGUAGGUCAUGAAUAAGCAACGGCUAAUUACGUGCCAGCAGCCGCGGUAACACGUAAGUUGCGAGCGUUGUUCGGAAUUAUUGGGCGUAAAGGGUAUGUAGGCGGUUCUGCAAGUCUGGUGUGAAAUGCCGGGGCUCAACCCCGGAACUGCGUUGGAAACUGCAGGACUUGAAUCGCUGAGGGGCAGCCAGAAUUCCAGGUGUAGGGGUGAAAUCUGUAGAUAUCUGGAAGAAUACCAAUGGCGAAGGCAGGCUGCCAGCAGAUGAUUGACGCUGAGGUAUGAAGGUGCGGGGAGCAAACAGGAUUAGAUACCCUGGUAGUCCGCACAGUCAACUAUGUACACUGGGUGUCCGCUCAUGAGAGUGGGUGCCGAAGCAAACGCGAUAAGUGUACCGCCUGGGGAGUAUGCCCGCAAGGGUGAAACUCAAAGGAAUUGACGG
This 575-nucleotide ribosomal RNA is filed under the name uncultured rumen bacterium. RNAcentral's name for it is "bacterial SSU rRNA". It matches the Rfam family "Bacterial small subunit ribosomal RNA", at positions 347 to 916 of the family's 1533-position model. The record is from RNAcentral.